UGGGGAAUUUUGGACAAUGGGCGAAAGCCUGAUCCAGCAAUGCUGCGUGUGUGAAGAAGGCCUUCGGGUUGUAAAGCACUUUUGUCCGGAAAGAAAUCCUUGGCUCUAAUACAGUCGGGGGAUGACGGUACCGGAAGAAUAAGCACCGGCUAACUACGUGCCAGCAGCCGCGGUAAUACGUAGGGUGCAAGCGUUAAUCGGAAUUACUGGGCGUAAAGCGUGCGCAGGCGGUUUGCUAAGACCGAUGUGAAAUCCCCGGGCUCAACCUGGGAACUGCAUUGGUGACUGGCAGGCUAGAGUAUGGCAGAGGGGGGUAGAAUUCCACGUGUAGCAGGUGAAAUGCGUAGAGAUGUGGAGGAAUACCGAUGGCGAAGGCAGCCCCCUGGGCCAAUACUGACGCUCAUGCACGAAAGCGUGGGGAGCAAACAGGAUUAGAUACCCUGGUAGUCCACGCCCUAAACGAUGUCAACUAGUUGUUGGGGAUUCAUUUCCUUAGUAACGUAGCUAACGCGUGAAGUUGACCGCCUGGGGAGUACGGUCGCAAGAUUAAAACUCAAAUG
Molecule: ribosomal RNA, 560 nt
Filed under: uncultured bacterium
Lineage: Bacteria
Description: partial 16S ribosomal RNA
Rfam family: Bacterial small subunit ribosomal RNA
Source: RNAcentral